UGGCCUUCCAUGGCUGCCACCAGGG
This 25-nucleotide non-coding RNA is filed under the name Mus musculus (house mouse). Lineage: Eukaryota; Metazoa; Chordata; Mammalia; Rodentia; Muridae. The record is from RNAcentral.